RNAcentral lists this ribosomal RNA (459 nucleotides) under uncultured bacterium. RNAcentral describes it as "partial 16S ribosomal RNA". It matches the Rfam family "Bacterial small subunit ribosomal RNA", at positions 338 to 795 of the family's 1533-position model. The record is from RNAcentral.
CCUACGGGUGGCAGCAGUGAGGAAUAUUGGUCAAUGGGCGCGAGCCUGAACCAGCCAAGUAGCGUGAAGGAUGACUGCCCUACGGGUUGUAAACUUCUUUUGUCGGGGAACAAAGGCGGAGACGCGUCUCCGGAUGAGUGUACCCGAAGAAAAAGCAUCGGCUAACUCCGUGCCAGCAGCCGCGGUAAUACGGAGGAUGCGAGCGUUAUCCGGUUUUAUUGGGGUUAAAGGGUGCGCAGGCGGGAGAUCAAGUCAGCGGUAAAAGGUCGGGGCUCAAACCCGGCCGGCCGUUGAAACUGGUUUUCUGGAGUUGGAGAGAAGUAUGCGGAAUUCGUGGUGUAGCGGUGAAAUGCAUAGAUAUCACGAAGAACUCCGAUUGCGAAGGCAGCAUACCGGCUCCAUACUGACGCUGAGGCACGAAAGCGUGGGGAUCGAACAGGAUUAGAUACCCCAGUAGUC